Molecule: long non-coding RNA, 1802 nt
Organism: Mirounga angustirostris (Northern elephant seal)
Lineage: Eukaryota; Metazoa; Chordata; Mammalia; Carnivora; Phocidae
Exons: 5
Source: RefSeq, a predicted model, not a curated record
UAUUACCUAACAGGGACUGCGGGGGUGGGAAGUGGGGGCAUCUUCUGAUCUGGCUCCAAGUGAUUCAUGCCCUUGUGUAAUCUCCUCCCUUUCCCCGAAUGUGGGCUAGACCCACUGACUUGCUUCUAAUAAACAGAUAGGGUCCAAGUGAUGGGAUGUCACUUCCAUGAUUAGGUUACAAAACAUGGACUCUUCCAUCUUGUCAGCUCUCUCUCUUGCUGGCCCUCUCUGAAGCAAGCUCCUAUGCUGUAAGACACCCAGCAGAGAGGCCUGCCUGGCGAGGAGCUGAGGCAGGCCUCCAGCCCACUGUCUGCCAUGAGCCAAAUCCACUGAAUCCUGCCAACAACCCUGUGAGUGAGCUAGGAAAGAGCCAGGUGGAUAGCUCUACUCAUGAACACAGGAGGGGAAAAAUGCAGCCAUGCUGGGUGUGCCUUUGACCUAGGCUUUGUUUUGUUCACACACCUUUGUAUGUUGAAUUCUAUGGGUUACGGACUUUACCAGAGAGAAGAGAAGAUACCAUACCUGGCACCAUACCAACUGGGAGAGGAAGCAAAUGGUGGAGAAUUGCCCACUGCAGGCAAAUCUACGAGAGAGAGACACAGUGAGAGAAGGAACACAAGCAGGGGGAGUGGGAGAGGGAGAAGCAGGCUCCCUGCCAAGCAGGGAACCUGAUGCGGGACUCGAUCCCAGGACCCUGGGAUCACGACCUGAGCCGAAGGCAGACGCUUAACGACUGAGCCACCCAGGCACCCCAAAUGUACAUGCAUAUCUUUUAUAAUGUGCUGGCUAUUGUCCACGAAAAAUUAUUAGUAGAAAGGAGAUCUAGGAUGAAUUUAUCUCCCUUUGAAGAAGAUUCUAAAUUGCCUUUGUCAGAUGUCCAAAGGUUUGACUAGAGAUGGUGCUUGAAAUUUGUGUCACCUACCGUAAUACAAGAGUCCUGAGGCUCAAGGUCAAAAUCAGUGAAGUUCAAGAGAAUACGGUGAUUUCUUUCCACCCGAAUGACCCAGGAGCAGUCAGUGUUACGCCUAUAAGGACUGGGGUAAUUUGGAGAAUGAAUCUCUCCAUUGGGAGCCUGGAAAAUCCCGCCACAACCUGUAAGUAGGAAACCCAAUUCAAAAAUGAGAGGAAUCCCUGAUGCAUAAAACUUUGCCCCAUGACCUGAUAGCACAGAACAAUAUGCUGCUUUGUUCAACCACCUGUUUUAUGUAGUUGGUGCUAAACAUUGUGCAGAACUGAAUAUCCACCAUUAAUUCAUGCAUCCCAACAAAAAGAAGGAUGACUAAGAAAAUCUCUCAAAUAAUUUAAAUACUGAUGACAAAAGUAAUUUUUAAAAAAAUUUUUUAAAUACUGAAAAGUAAGUGCAAAUAAAAUCAUGUUCUCAUAAAGCCAUAAAAUGCCUCUUCUUUGCUCUCUAAAAAUAUAAUAUACUGUAAGAAUAACACAUCUCCUACGAAUUUUGAUAGCUUAGUAGUGUAUGUUUUUAAUAAUUUAAUAUCUGCCUUUUAAAAUUUAAUAUUCUGGACCUGGUACAGUUAUUCAGUCCUUUUAUUCCUAUGAUAUUAUCAAAUACCUAUCAAUGUCUAUCUCUAUGACUUAUCAUAUCUUGGAGUUAUGAUAAUAUAAACCUAUAAUAGAAAAAUGUAGUAUUAUUUUCUAAUAGUUGACAACCAUUUUGGGUAAUCUAAACACUAUGUAUACAUAAUCAUAUAUAUAAUCCUCAUUAAAUUCAGGCAUCAUUAACUUUAGGGAAGAUCCAACACACUUACUAUACCACGUUAGGGUUCCAAAAGUGGGGCCAUGAG